This 248-nucleotide ribosomal RNA is filed under the name uncultured bacterium. Its description in RNAcentral is "partial 16S ribosomal RNA". It matches the Rfam family "Bacterial small subunit ribosomal RNA", at positions 57 to 305 of the family's 1533-position model. The record is from RNAcentral.
GCAAGUCGAACGAGGAACCAUUGAAGCUUGCUUUGGAGGUUUCCUAGUGGCGCACGGGUGAGUAACACGUGAGUUACAUGCCCUGCAGUGGGGGAUAGCCCGAGGAAACUCGGAUUAAUACCCCAUGGUACCGCAAGGUUAAAGAUGGCUUCGGCUGUCGCUGCAGGAUUGGCUCGCGGCCUAUCAGCUUGUUGGUGAGGUAACGGCUCACCAAGGCAACGACGGGUAGCUGGUCUGAGAGGACGAUC